CAUAGCUAGGCCCUUUGUGAAGCUUUGUACUUCGGCUAAGGUGCUGCUACGGUUACGGGACAACACCUUGGCUAGGUACAAUGCUCAACAUAUCGGCUACCUUCCCU
Molecule: non-coding RNA, 107 nt
Organism: Brugia malayi
Lineage: Eukaryota; Metazoa; Nematoda; Chromadorea; Rhabditida; Onchocercidae
Source: RefSeq, a predicted model, not a curated record